GGGGAUUUAGCUCAGUGGUAGAGCACUUGCUUAGCAAGCACAAGGCCCUGGGUUCGGUCCUCAGCUCCG
This 69-nucleotide transfer RNA is filed under the name Rattus norvegicus (Norway rat). It matches the Rfam family "tRNA". From Rfam's summary of the family: Transfer RNA (tRNA) molecules are approximately 80 nucleotides in length. Their secondary structure includes four short double-helical elements and three loops (D, anti-codon, and T loops). Further hydrogen bonds mediate the characteristic L-shaped molecular structure. tRNAs have two regions of fundamental functional importance: the anti-codon, which is responsible for specific mRNA codon recognition, and the 3' end, to which the tRNAs corresponding amino acid is attached (by aminoacyl-tRNA synthetases). tRNAs cope with the degeneracy of the genetic code in two manners: having more than one tRNA (with a specific anti-codon) for a particular amino acid; and 'wobble' base-pairing, i.e. permitting non-standard base-pairing at the 3rd anti-codon position. Lineage: Eukaryota; Metazoa; Chordata; Mammalia; Rodentia; Muridae. RNAcentral also lists the same sequence under 1 other name. The record is from Rfam by way of RNAcentral.